GAUGAACGCUGGCGGCGUGCCUAAUACAUGCAAGUCGAGCGAACAGACGAGGAGCUUGCUCCUCUGACGUUAGCGGCGGACGGGUGAGUAACACGUGGAUAACCUACCUAUAAGACUGGGAUAACUUCGGGAAACCGGAGCUAAUACCGGAUAAUAUAUUGAACCGCAUGGUUCAAUAGUGAAAGACGGUUUUGCUGUCACUUAUAGAUGGAUCCGCGCCGCAUUAGCUAGUUGGUAAGGUAACGGCUUACCAAGGCAACGAUGCGUAGCCGACCUGAGAGGGUGAUCGGCCACACUGGAACUGAGACACGGUCCAGAAUCCUACGGGAGGCAGCAGGAGGGAAUCUUCCGCAAUGGGCGAAAGCCUGACGGAGCAACGCCGCGUGAGUGAUGAAGGUCUUCGGAUCGUAAAACUCUGUUAUUAGGGAAGAACAAAUGUGUAAGUAACUAUGCACGUCUUGACGGUACCUAAUCAGAAAGCCACGGCGAACUACGU
RNAcentral lists this ribosomal RNA (496 nucleotides) under uncultured bacterium. RNAcentral's name for it is "partial 16S ribosomal RNA". It matches the Rfam family "Bacterial small subunit ribosomal RNA", at positions 28 to 506 of the family's 1533-position model. The record is from RNAcentral.